UAGGGAAUCUUCCGCAAUGGACGAAAGUCUGACGGAGCAACGCCGCGUGAGUGAUGAAGGUUUUCGGAUCGUAAAGCUCUGUUGUUAGGGAAGAACAAGUACCGUUCGAAUAGGGCGGUACCUUGACGGUACCUAACCAGAAAGCCACGGCUAACUACGUGCCAGCAGCCGCGGUAAUACGUAGGUGGCAAGCGUUGUCCGGAAUUAUUGGGCGUAAAGCGCGCGCAGGUGGUUUCUUAAGUCUGAUGUGAAAGCCCCCGGCUCAACCGGGGAGGGUCAUUGGAAACUGGGAGACUUGAGUGCAGAAGAGGAAAGUGGAAUUCCAAGUGUAGCGGUGAAAUGCGUAGAGAUUUGGAGGAACACCAGUGGCGAAGGCGACUUUCUGGUCUGUAACUGACACUGAGGCGCGAAAGCGUGGGGAGCAAACAG
This 429-nucleotide ribosomal RNA is filed under the name uncultured organism. RNAcentral describes it as "bacterial SSU rRNA". It matches the Rfam family "Bacterial small subunit ribosomal RNA", at positions 355 to 775 of the family's 1533-position model. The record is from RNAcentral.